This is a long non-coding RNA of Oenanthe melanoleuca, 974 nucleotides long. RefSeq lists it as uncharacterized. Lineage: Eukaryota; Metazoa; Chordata; Aves; Passeriformes; Muscicapidae. The transcript is spliced from 3 exons. The record is from RefSeq and is a predicted model, not a curated record.
UGUGCUCUCUUGUCCUGCUAUCUUUAUCAUCAAUCUAAUCAAGAUAACAAAAUGGGGACAUUCUUCUGCUACAUACAUGGAAACAGAUAUAUUUUUCCAGUUAUAGUGCAAUCAGAUAACUUGUUUUCAGAGGUCUAUAGUUUUACAAUGUUUCUUUUGUUACUGCCGAGUUAAUAUUUCUUGCUGUGAAGUGGAAGGAUUAGUAAAUUGACCUGGAAGUUGUGGAAGUGUGAACAUUAUCCUGAAACUGUGUGGUAAUUUUUUGUGAACAGAAAUUGAACCUGCACUUAGUCUUGUAUUGAAAUAAAAUUAAAAAUUGUAUCAGGCGCUCAAUCUUCUACUGCAUUGAAAACAUCUCAUUAAAGCAUUGUCUAAUUAGGGUGUGGAGUCAUUCCCUUUUCUUAAUGAUAUUAAUAUUCAAGAUGUUAGAAGAAAUAUAAAAUCCAAAUUUUAAAGAAAUAAAAAAAUCCAACUAAAAAAAUAAAAAUAAAAAAUAAAAUCGAUGUUUAAGUCCUGGAACUGAAAUUCUGCCAGGCUUACAUACUGUAUUUGAUUUCUCUGCUUAAAAAAAAUCUGUCCUUUGUAACAAAUUUGAAUGUGUGCUUUUUGGAAUUUAAUUGUAACGUGCCUGGCACUAAUGAUUCCUUUUACUUCUAAUUAAAGCACAUCCCUAUAAGUUUUAGGGAUCUCAACUCACCAGCAGCUGUCAGAGGUGAAGCAUUACCAACAGGAAAAGAAUCUUUGCCAGCUCACUUUGAAGCUGAAGCAGCUGUUACACCUCCUGCUGCUGCUCCUGAUGUUCACUUUCAACCUGAAGCAGCUGUUACGCCUCCUGCUGCUCCUCCAGAUGCAUGCUGGGAACAACCUAGACACCCAUUCUACACUUUGUUAGGAACUGACAUACCUGCUGGUGGGACACCCCCCAGAACCUACUCUGUGCCUGGAACUGGCAGAAUCUCUGGUGUGUCACCCUA